AGACUACUGCGCGCGGCCGGCUGUGCAGCGAUAGGGCGCGGCGUCUGCGCCGCCACUUUAUCCCCAGCCGCUCGGCGGCGGGGGCGGCCCGCUGGGUGGGGACGCGCGGGGAGGCGGCGCCGGGGCCCCACGUGUGCCCGGUCCCCGGGGAGGAGCGGGGCACCGCCCGCCGACCUGCCUCGCGUUUUUUCCUGGCCGCGUUGGGGACCUUCACGGGGCACUGAACCGAAUUAGGGGGCCCUUCCAGCCCAAGCGCACAGUCGAGAACACAGACCCUCACACAGGUCCCCCGAGCAGAAACACGCUCACAAGAACUGCAUGCACAUGUUUACAGUUGCACACGUGUGAGACCCGCAUUCAGAUAGCACAAGUGUAGGCACACCCACAAGGACACAAGGACUCCUCCUCAGGACCCUUCACCAGAUACAAGCUACACACAGGGGUACAAGUGAAUGUCACAGUUACUACAUGUAUACAGACACACAGCAUGGAUGCACAUGCCCUAGACACCAUGCACACAGAUAAAAACAACAUACCAUGCACACAGUGUCAGCGCAGAAACCACAGCUCUCAUCAUACAGGGGAAAAGAUUAUUCUGGAGCCAUUUUGAGUGACCAUGAGCUGGAAACACAGAUUUAAGUUGCCCCUAAUUCCAUGUUCCCAUGUGAAAGCAGUUUCAGGAAAAUAUAUAUAGUUUUAAAGAACAGAAAAAGCCAUAUAUCAAGGCAAGUUUAAAAUACAUUGGUGGGUACACCAGAGAGGCAGGUAACAAUGAAAUGGGAAAGUGUUCCUAUAGGUUCAAAAUGCUAUCUGAUAGCAUCGCUAACUUUUGGAUUUGUAGAAGCUAAUUAUCCUGUUAAGUCAAUAGAUAAACACUGUUCAUUUUUUGCCUCAAGAAGUUAGUUCUAACAAAGAGGGGCAAGAAAGAAAUGGCUGUUCCUGAGGGCCCAAACUUAGCCCAAAAUAAAGUAAUUUGCCUCUGGACCUGAACAUUCCAACCUCUCCAAAGUACUGAAACUUUAAUCAGCCAGUUAAUCUCUGCAGACACAGCUUCCUUUCAGUUUUCCGCCUCAGCAGCAGAAGCAGCUCCUUUCCCCAUGUUCAUAACAGAGAUAAACAACACACCACACACACCCUGACUGCUAAAGAUGUGUGACAUUCACACACAAACACUUAGAGCCCUGAGAAGGAAGCAGACACACUGCAAACCACAAACACUGCAUGAAACCAUUUCCCCUAGGUGCCCCAGGAGCCAGGUCCCACCAGCACAGCUGCCUAUGUGGCUGUGGAGUCUGGAAUCCAGUAUUAAAUUUACAGCCUGUCCACUGUGUCCUAUGUCUGCCACCUGUGAGUGACAGCUGCAGAGGAAGGAUGACCCUGACUCACACCCAUCUCCACAGGCUUGCCAGGGCUUUCUUCUUGGCCAACCACUUUGCAAAAUAGCAGUGUUGAAUAGUACCAUUGUCAGGGCGGCACAGUGGUGGUGUCCACCUACGGGUCCCACUCUCUAGCACUGUAUGGCUUGGAACACAUAGAUAUUCACCUGUCUGCUUCCUAAAUGCGGGGAUCAAAGAUCCAUGCUGCCAUACCCAGAAUGACAUUGGAUUCAUACACUCAAGAAAAGGGAAUCAACAGCAAAGGAUUGGUGAGCUGCAGAAAUUCUCUUGGAUUGUUUCCUUCUCACACAGAAGAAGACAUCAGGGCCCCCUUUCAUUCUGGUAUUCUCACUGCAGAAGGGAUCUGUGGAAUAACAGUUCUUCCCAUGCCCCUGAGUAUUUUAAAAAUGUUUUGUUACCUCUUCUGGCCAUGAUGGUGUUCAGUGAUGCCCUCUCCUAUUCUCACAGAUAAUGCCUUUUCCCUCUUAGUACUUUCAAGAUGGCUCUCUGUGUCUGGUUUUCAGAAGUUUCACCAUGUGUCUUGGUGUGGAUUCUUUAGGUUUAUUUUAUGCUUGUUCAGCUUCUCUGAUCUGAAGAAGUCAAGGUUUAUGUCUCUUGACAAAUUCAGAACAUUUUCACACGACCAGCAUUAU
Molecule: long non-coding RNA, 2029 nt
Filed under: Mus pahari (shrew mouse)
Lineage: Eukaryota; Metazoa; Chordata; Mammalia; Rodentia; Muridae
Description: predicted gene, 26588 (MGP_PahariEiJ_G0002969.1)
Source: RNAcentral